Molecule: ribosomal RNA, 245 nt
Filed under: uncultured bacterium
Lineage: Bacteria
Description: partial 16S ribosomal RNA
Rfam family: Bacterial small subunit ribosomal RNA
Source: RNAcentral
UACGUAGGAGGCAAGCGUUGUCCGGAGUUACUGGGCGUAAAGCGCACGCAGGCGGUUCGUUACGUUCGAAGUGACAGUCUCCAGCUUAACUGGGGAAGUGCUUGGAAAACGGACGAACUUGAGGGCUCUAGAGAGAUACGGAAUUCCGGGUGGAGUGGUGAAAUGCGUAGAUAUCCGGAGGAACACCAAAGGCGAAGGCAGUAUCUUGGAGAGUACCUGACGCUCAGGUGCGAAAGCCAGGGGAG